Molecule: ribosomal RNA, 1029 nt
Filed under: Nocardiopsis terrae
Lineage: Bacteria; Bacillati; Actinomycetota; Actinomycetes; Streptosporangiales; Nocardiopsidaceae
Description: bacterial SSU rRNA
Rfam family: Bacterial small subunit ribosomal RNA
Source: RNAcentral
GCCGAAGGGGGUCGGAUUAUUGGGCGUAAAGAGCUCGUAGGCGGCGUGUCGCGUCUGCUGUGAAAGACCGGGGCUUAACUCCGGUUCUGCAGUGGAUACGGGCAUGCUAGAGGUAGGUAGGGGAGACUGGAAUUCCUGGUGUAGCGGUGAAAUGCGCAGAUAUCAGGAGGAACACCGGUGGCGAAGGCGGGUCUCUGGGCCUUACCUGACGCUGAGGAGCGAAAGCAUGGGGAGCGAACAGGAUUAGAUACCCUGGUAGUCCAUGCCGUAAACGUUGGGCGCUAGGUGUGGGGACUUUCCACGGUUUCCGCGCCGUAGCUAACGCAUUAAGCGCCCCGCCUGGGGAGUACGGCCGCAAGGCUAAAACUCAAAGGAAUUGACGGGGGCCCGCACAAGCGGCGGAGCAUGUUGCUUAAUUCGACGCAACGCGAAGAACCUUACCAAGGUUUGACAUCACCCGUGGACCUGUAGAGAUACAGGGUCAUUUAGUUGGUGGGUGACAGGUGGUGCAUGGCUGUCGUCAGCUCGUGUCGUGAGAUGUUGGGUUAAGUCCCGCAACGAGCGCAACCCUUGUUCCAUGUUGCCAGCACGUAAUGGUGGGGACUCAUGGGAGACUGCCGGGGUCAACUCGGAGGAAGGUGGGGACGACGUCAAGUCAUCAUGCCCCUUAUGUCUUGGGCUGCAAACAUGCUACAAUGGCCGGUACAAUGGGCGUGCGAUACCGUAAGGUGGAGCGAAUCCCUUAAAGCCGGUCUCAGUUCGGAUUGAGGUCUGCAACUCGACCCCAUGAAUGUGGAGUCACUAGUAAUCGCGGAUCAACAACGCCGCGGUGAAUACGUUCCCGGGCCUUGUACACACCGCCCGUCACGUCAUGAAAGUCGGCAACACCCGAAACUUGCGGCCUAACCCUUCGGGGAGGGAAUGAAUCAAUGUGAGGCUGGCCAUUGGAACGAAAUCAUAACAAGGUAGCGUACCGGAAGGGCGGUGUGCCCCCCCUUUUUAAAAAAAAAAAAUGGGUUGUGCGGGUGU